AGUGAACGCUGGCGGUAGGCUUAACACAUGCAAGUCGAACGGCAGCACAGUAAGAGCUUGCUCUUACGGGUGGCGAGUGGCGGACGGGUGAGGAAUACAUCGGAAUCUACUUUUUCGUGGGGGAUAACGUAGGGAAACUUACGCUAAUACCGCAUACGACCUACGGGUGAAAGCAGGGGAUCUUCGGACCUUGCGCGAUUGAAUGAGCCGAUGUCGGAUUAGCUAGUUGGCGGGGUAAAGGCCCACCAAGGCGACGAUCCGUAGCUGGUCUGAGAGGAUGAUCAGCCACACUGGAACUGAGACACGGUCCAGACUCCUACGGGAGGCAGCAGUGGGGAAUAUUGGACAAUGGGUGCAAGCCUGAUCCAGCCAUACCGCGUGGGUGAAGAAGGCCUUCGGGUUGUAAAGCCCUUUUGUUGGGAAAGAAAAGCAGCAGGUUAAUACCCCGCUGUUCUGACGGUACCCAAAGAAUAAGCACCGGCUAACUUCGUG
RNAcentral lists this ribosomal RNA (492 nucleotides) under uncultured bacterium. RNAcentral describes it as "partial 16S ribosomal RNA". It matches the Rfam family "Bacterial small subunit ribosomal RNA", at positions 29 to 507 of the family's 1533-position model. The record is from RNAcentral.